GCGGGGGUUCCCAAGUGGCCAAAGGGGGUAGGUUCAGGUCCUACUGGAUUAGUCCUACGUGGGUUCGAAUCCCACCCCCCGCACCA
Molecule: transfer RNA, 86 nt
Filed under: Candidatus Bathyarchaeota archaeon
Lineage: Archaea; Thermoproteati; Candidatus Bathyarchaeota
Also listed under: 2 other names
Description: tRNA-Leu
Rfam family: tRNA
About the family: Transfer RNA (tRNA) molecules are approximately 80 nucleotides in length. Their secondary structure includes four short double-helical elements and three loops (D, anti-codon, and T loops).
Source: RNAcentral